This 684-nucleotide ribosomal RNA is filed under the name uncultured bacterium. RNAcentral's name for it is "bacterial SSU rRNA". It matches the Rfam family "Bacterial small subunit ribosomal RNA", at positions 71 to 784 of the family's 1533-position model. The record is from RNAcentral.
AGCCUUCCUUCGGGGAGGUGGAGACUGGCGCACGGGUGAGUAACGCGUGGGGAUUUACCCCGGGGUGGGGAAUAACCGCUGGAAACGGCGGCUAAUACCGCAUACGUCCGAGAGGAGAAAGUCUUAGGGCGCCCUGGGAGGAACCCGCGUUGGAUUAGCUAGUUGGUGGGGUAAAAGCCUACCAAGGCGACGAUCCAUAGCUGGUCUGAGAGGAUGAUCAGCCACACUGGGACUGAGACACGGCCCAGACUCCUACGGGAGGCAGCAGUGGGGAAUAUUGGACAAUGGGCGCAAGCCUGAUCCAGCCAUGCCGCGUGAGUGAAGAAGGCCUUAGGGUUGUAAAACUCUUUCACCCGUGAAGAUGAUGACGGUAGCGGGAGAAGAAGCCCCGGCUAACUCCGUGCCAGCAGCCGCGGUAAUACGGAGGGGGCAAGCGUUGUUCGGAUUUACUGGGCGUAAAGGGCGCGUAGGCGGGCGAUCAAGUCAGGGGUGAAAGGCCUGGGCUCAACCUAGGAACUGCCUUUGAAACUGAUUGUCUUGAGUCCGGGAGAGGAUAGCGGAAUUCCCAGUGUAGAGGUGAAAUUCGUAGAUAUUGGGGAAGAACACCGGUGGCGAAAGGCGGCUAUCUGGACCGGCACUGACGCCUGAGGCGCGAAAGCGUGGGGGAGCAAACAGGAUUAGGAU